AUUGAACGCUGGCGGCAGGCCUAACACAUGCAAGUCGAACGGUAACAGGAAGAAGCUUGCUUCUUUGCUGACGAGUGGCGGACGGGUGAGUAAUGUCUGGGAAACUGCCUGAUGGAGGGGGAUAACUACUGGAAACGGUAGCUAAUACCGCAUAACGUCGCAAGACCAAAGAGGGGGACCUUCGGGCCUCUUGCCAUCGGAUGUGCCCAGAUGGGAUUAGCUAGUAGGUGGGGUAACGGCUCACCUAGGCGACGAUCCCUAGCUGGUCUGAGAGGAUGACAACCCAACCGGGAACUGGGACACGGCCCAGACCCCUAGGGGGGGCAGCGGUGGGGAAUUUUGCAAAAGGGGCGCAAGCCUGAUGCAGCAAUGCCGGGGUUAUGAAGAAGGCCUUCGGGUUGUAAAGUAUUUUAAGGGGGGAGGAAGGGAGUAAAGUUAAUCCCUUUGCUCAUUGACGUUACCCGAAAAAGAAGCACCGGCUACCUCCGU
RNAcentral lists this ribosomal RNA (489 nucleotides) under uncultured bacterium. RNAcentral's name for it is "partial 16S ribosomal RNA". It matches the Rfam family "Bacterial small subunit ribosomal RNA", at positions 30 to 506 of the family's 1533-position model. The record is from RNAcentral.